RNAcentral lists this ribosomal RNA (442 nucleotides) under uncultured bacterium. Its description in RNAcentral is "partial 16S ribosomal RNA". It matches the Rfam family "Bacterial small subunit ribosomal RNA", at positions 338 to 795 of the family's 1533-position model. The record is from RNAcentral.
CCUACGGGAGGCAGCAGUAGGGAAUCUUUCACAAUGGGCGAAAGCCUGAUGGAGCAACGCCGCGUGCAGGAUGAAGGCCUUCGGGUUGUAAACUGCUUUUAUAAGCGAGAAAUAUGAUGGUAACUUUUGAAUAAGGAUCGGCUAACUACGUGCCAGCAGCCGCGGUCAUACGUAGGAUCCGAGCAUUAUCCGGAGUGACAGGGGGUACAGAGUUGCGUUGGUGGCAUAAUAAGUAGCUAGUGAAAUCUGGUGGCUCAACCAUUCAGACUAUUAGCUAAACUGGUAAGCUCGAGACCGUUAGGGGUAACUGGAAGUUCUAGUGUAGGAGUGAAAUGCGUAGAUAUUAGAAAGAACACCGAUAGCGUAGGCAGGUUACUGGGACGGUUCUGACACUGAGGCACGAAAGCGUAGGGAGCAAACGGGAUUAGAUACCCUAGUAGUC